Chenopodium quinoa (quinoa) is the source of this 233-nucleotide long non-coding RNA. RefSeq lists it as uncharacterized. The transcript is spliced from 3 exons. The record is from RefSeq and is a predicted model, not a curated record. Lineage: Eukaryota; Viridiplantae; Streptophyta; Magnoliopsida; Caryophyllales; Amaranthaceae.
UAUGCUGCUUUGGGUUCUCCAAAUCUCCCUGGAUGGGUUGCUGCUGGAGAUCCAUGUGGUGAUGCUUGGCAAGGCGUCCACUGCGAUGGUUCAAACAUAAAUUCAAUAAAUCUUGUUGGAGCCGAUUUGGGUGGUGAAUUGGGUGACAACAUAGGAUUAUUCACAUCUAUUAAAUCAAUUCUUGCAGUCUUUUAUUGUUGAUCUGCACGAGAAGAUGACUGACAUUAGCAUCU